RNAcentral lists this ribosomal RNA (253 nucleotides) under uncultured bacterium. Its description in RNAcentral is "partial 16S ribosomal RNA". It matches the Rfam family "Bacterial small subunit ribosomal RNA", at positions 524 to 776 of the family's 1533-position model. The record is from RNAcentral.
UACGGAGGGUGCAAGCGUUAUUCGGAUUUACUGGGCUUAAAGCGUGCGCAGGCGGAUUUGUAAGCCCGAGGUGAAAUCUCCGAGCUUAACUCGGAAACUGCCUUGGAUACUAUAAGUCUUGAAUGACGUUGAGGUUAGCGGAAUAUGUCAUGUAGCGGUGAAAUGCUUAGAUAUGACAUAGAACAUCUAUUGCGAAGGCAGCUAACUGAGCGUAUAUUGACGCUGAUGCACGAAAGCGUGGGGAUCAAACAGG